Long non-coding RNA from Schistocerca nitens (vagrant locust), 342 nucleotides. RefSeq lists it as uncharacterized. The record is from RefSeq and is a predicted model, not a curated record. Lineage: Eukaryota; Metazoa; Arthropoda; Insecta; Orthoptera; Acrididae. The transcript is spliced from 3 exons.
UCAUCUCAGGCCUCCACAAGUUUACCCAAUAUGCAAUAUUUACUCAAGCAUAUAACAGUGCGGGUGCAGGACCACAGAGUGCAGAGAUAUUAGUCUUCACAGAUGAAGAUGUUCCGGACUCACCUCCAAGAGAUGUUCAUUGCACCAGUGUAUCUUCACAAAGUAUCCUCUUGACCUGGCUGGAAAUUGCUGUUAAUAAUGUCAAUGGUGUCCUGCUGGGGUACAAGGUCACAUACAGGACAGUUUCUGAGUGGGAUGAAAUUAAACAACAAUAUUUUAAUGUCCAGAGGCUUCAUCUCAGUCUGAAUCUUCCACUGAAGAAUGCAAAAUGGAGUUAGUUGG